RNAcentral lists this ribosomal RNA (1345 nucleotides) under uncultured bacterium. RNAcentral describes it as "bacterial SSU rRNA". It matches the Rfam family "Bacterial small subunit ribosomal RNA", at positions 28 to 1381 of the family's 1533-position model. The record is from RNAcentral.
GAUGAACGCUAGCGGGAGGCCUAACACAUGCAAGCCGAGCGGUAUUGUUUCUUCGGAAAUGAGAGAGCGGCGUACGGGUGCGGAACACGUGUGCAACCUGCCUUUAUCUGGGGGAUAGCCUUUCGAAAGGAAGAUUAAUACUCCAUAACAUAUUGAUUGGCAUCAAUUAAUAUUGAAAGCUCCGGCGGAUAGAGAUGGGCACGCGCAAGAUUAGCUAGUUGGUGAGGUAACGGCUCACCAAGGCGAUGAUCUUUAGGGGGCCUGAGAGGGUGAUCCCCCACACUGGUACUGAGACACGGACCAGACUCCUACGGGAGGCAGCAGUGAGGAAUAUUGGUCAAUGGGUGCAAGCCUGAACCAGCCAUCCCGCGUGAAGGACGACUGCCCUAUGGGUUGUAAGCUUCUUUUGUAUAGGGAUAAACCUACCCUCGUGAGGGUAGCUGAAGGUACUAUACGAAUAAGCACCGGCUAACUCCGUGCCAGCAGCCGCGGUAAUACGGAGGGUGCAAGCGUUAUCCGGAUUUAUUGGGUUUAAAGGGUCCGUAGGCGGACUUAUAAGUCAGUGGUGAAAGCCUGUCGCUUAACGAUAGAACUGCCAUUGAUACUGUAAGUCUUGAGUAUAUUUGAGGUAGCUGGAAUAAGUAGUGUAGCGGUGAAAUGCAUAGAUAUUACUUAGAACACCAAUUGCGAAGGCAGGUUACCAAGAUAUAACUGACGCUGAGGGACGAAAGCGUGGGGAGCGAACAAGAUUAGAUACCCUGGUAGUCCACGCCGUAAACGAUGCUAACUCGUUUUUGGGCUUUAGGGUUCAGAGACCAAGCGAAAGUGAUAAGUUAGCCACCUGGGGAGUACGCUCGCAAGAGUGAAACUCAAAGGAAUUGACGGGGGCCCGCACAAGCGGUGGAUUAUGUGGUUUAAUUCGAUGAUACGCGAGGAACCUUACCAAGACUUAAAUGGGAAUUGACAGCUUUAGAAAUAGAGCUUUCUUCGGACAAUUUUCAAGGUGCUGCAUGGUUGUCGUCAGCUCGUGCCGUGAGGUGUUAGGUUAAGUCCUGCAACGAGCGCAACCCCUGUCACUAGUUGCCAUCAUUCAGUUGGGGACUCUAGUGAGACUGCCUACGCAAGUAGAGAGGAAGGUGGGGAUGACGUCAAAUCAUCACGGCCCUUACGUCUUGGGCCACACACGUAAUACAAUGGCCGGUACAGAGGGCAGCUACACAGCGAUGUGAUGCAAAUCUCGAAAGCCGGUCUCAGUUCGGAUUGGAGUCUGCAACUCGACUCUAUGAAGCUGGAAUCGCUAGUAAUCGCGCAUCAGCCAUGGCGCGGUGAAUACGUUCCCGGGCCU